AUCACUUGAACCUGGAAGGUGGAGGUUGCAGUGAGCUGAGAUCGCGCCACUGCACUCCAGCCUGGGCGACAGAGAGAGACUCUGUCUCAAAAAAAAAAAAAAUAAGCUGCAACUAGGUGUCAUAUCCAUUUUCCCCCACUGAAUUAAUGAUGGCAUAAUAAAUUUAAUAUUUCAUUAAAAAUAAUUCAAGUUAGCCCUUUCCUUAUGGGUCACAUGGAAGUGUUAACUAAUAUUUACAACAACCUUGAUUUUCUGAUGCAAACAUAAAUUUUAGGUGUGUUCAUAUUAAAUAAUCUUAUAGUUCAAAGUUUUUUCAUUUAAAAAAAUAAUAGACUUUAUUUUUUUUAGAGCAGCUUCAGGAUUACAGAGAAAUCAGCUGGAAAGAACAGAGAGUCCCCAAAUAGCCCCUUCCAAACACACAGUUUCCCUUCCUACUAACAUCUGGCAUUCAUGUGGGACAUUUGUUACAAUUGAUACAUCAAUAUUGAUACAUUAUUAGUAAUGACAGUCCAUAGUUCAUUAGGGUUCACUCUUUAUGUUGUACAGUUCUAUGGGUUUUGACAAUGGUGUCCACCAUUACAGUAUCCUACAGUGUAGUUUCACUGCCCUAAAAGUCUCCCAUACUCUAACUCUUCACGCCUCCCUCCCCGCAAUCCUUGGCAACCACUACCAUCUCCAUAGUUUUGCUUUUUGCAUUGUCAGAUGGUUGGAAUCAUACAGAAAUCAUACUUUUUCAGAAUAGCUUCUUUCACUUAGCAAUCUGCAUUUUAAAAAGUGCAAGGAAUUCCACCCCAAAAUAUGACUCCUUGGCAUAAUAAGCAUUUUGAAUUAAAAGUCCUUAUAGAUCGAUAGGACUUGGAAGAGACUUUUCUCCUAGCUACACAAAGACCUGACAGAUCCACCAAGAAGAACAAUGGUUUUUUCCUGCCAUGUUAUUUCAUUGUCUAUUGCAGGAAUGAUGAUCAAGAAUGUAACCAGACUUGGCCCAACCUUUUUACAAAAUAAUGUCUGUCUCUCAGGCUCAUUCAUUUUCCAGAGAGAACCAAUUACAAAUCAGUCUCUGUUCCCCUAUCUAUUCAUCCCCCUAAGUAUCCACUCAUUCUCUCUAGUAAUCAUUUACUGCCCCUCAACAGAAUUACCCAUACUCCCUAUCCCCACCUCCCUUUUGGCAUGAGGUUAUGUAAGUCUUUGGGCCCCACUGGGAUAUUGGGUAAUCACUCUGUGAUUCUCUCCACAUGCAUGGUUAAAUAAAUUUGUAUGCUUUUCCUUUAUUUUUAUUUAUUUAUUUAUUUUAUUUUAUUUUUUGAGAUGGAGUUUCACUCUUAUUGCCCAGGCUGGAGUGCAAUGGCGCGAUCUUGGCUCACCGCAACCUCUGCCUCCCAGGUUCAAGCAAUUCUCCUGCCUCAGCCUCCUGAAUAGCUGGGAUUACAGGCAUGCGCCACCAUGCCCGACUAAUUUUGAAUUUUUAGUAGAGACGGGGUUUCUCCAUGUUGGUCAGGCUGGUCUCGAACUCCCGACAUCAGGUGAUCCGCCCACCUCGGCCUCCCAAAGUGCUGGGAUUACAGGCGUAAGCCACCUCACCCGGCUUGCCUUUUAUUAAUCUGCUUUAUGCUGAGUUGAUUUUUUCAGCGAAUCUUUCGAGGGCGAAGGGGAAGCUUUCCCUUCACCCCAACACAUGUAAGUCUCCUCCAUGUUUUCUCAUGUCCUGCUAACUAAUUUAUUUUUAUUGCUGAAUAAUAUUCCUUUUUAUGGAUGCACUGUGGUUUGGUUAUCCAUUCACCUACUGAAGGACAUCUUAGUUGCUUCCAAGUUUUGGCCAGUAUGAAUAAAGCUGCUAUAAAUAUUCAUGUGCAGGUUUUGUGUGGACAUAGUUUCCAACUGAUUUCAGUGAAUACCAAGGAGAAUGAUUGAUGGAUUAUAUGGUAAGAGUAUGCUUGGUUUUUUUAAAGAAACUGCCAAAUUUUCUUCUAUAGUAGGUGGCUGUACCAUUUUGCAUAUCCACCAGCAAUAAAUGAGAAUUCCAGUUGCUCCACAUCUUCAUCAUUUAGUCUUGUUGAUGUUUUGAACUUUAGCCAUUCUAAUAGGUGUGUGGUGGUAUCUUAUUGUUGUUUUAAUUAGCAAUUCCCUAAUGACAUACGAUGUUGAGCAUCUUUGUCAUAUGCUUAUUUUCCAACUGUACAUCUUCUUUGGUGAGGUAUCUGUUCAGAUCUUUUGACCAUUUUUAUUUAUUUUUUUGAGAUAGGGUUUUGCUCUGUUGCCCAGGCUGGAGUGCAGUGGCAAUUAUAGCUCAUGGCAACCUCAAAUUCCUGGGCUCAAAUGCUUCUCCCACCUCAGUCCAGAGUAGCUGGGACUACAGGCAUGCACCACCACACCUUGCUAAUUUUUUUAUUUUUAGUAAAGAUGGGGGUCUCCCUAUGUUGCUCAGGCUGGUCUUGAACUCCUGGCCUGAAGUUUUCCUCCCAUCUUGACCUCUCAAAGUACUAGGAUUACAGGUGCGAGCCACUGUACCUGGCUGCACAUUUUAAAAUUGAGUUUUCUUACUGUUGAGUUUUAAGAAUUAUUUGUAUACUUUGGAUACCAGUCUUUUAUUAGAUAUGUAUCCUGUAAAGAUUUUCACGUAGUCUGUGGCUUGUGCUAGUUUUUGUAAAAGAUGCAAGGACUAUGUCUAGGUUCUUUUUUAUUUGUUUGCAUGUGGAUGUCCAGUUAUGCCAGAAACAUUUAUUGAAAAGCCUUUCUCCACUGAAUUGGAUUUGCUCCUUUGUCAAAGAUUAGUUGACUAUAUUCACGUGGGUCUGUUUCUCAGCUCUCAAUUCUUGUCCACUGAUCUAUUUGCCUGUCCUUUUGGCAAUGCCACACUGUCUUGAUAACUGUAGCUUUAUAGUAAGUCUUUAAGCCAGUGGUGUCACUUUCCCAAAUUUAUUUUCCUUCAAUACUGUGUUGGCUAUUUUAGGUCUCUUGCUUUUCCAUAUAAACUUUAGAAUCAGUUUGUUGAUACCCACAAAAUAACUUGCUGAGAUUUUGACUGGAAUUACAUUGAAUCUAUAGACCAAGCUGGAGGAACUGACAUCUUGAAUAUAUUGAGUCUUCCUAUCUAUGAACAUGGAAUAUCUCUCCAGUUAAUAGAUUUUAUUUGGUUUAUUUAUUUUCUUUUUUUUUUUUUGAGACAGAGUUUUGCUCUUGUUGCCCAGGCUGGAGUGCAGUGGUGCAAUCUCGGCUCACUGCAACUUCCACCUCCUGGAUUCAAGCGAUUCUCCUGCCUCAGCCUCCCAAGUAGCUGGGAUUACAAGCGCCUGCCACCAUGCCCGGCUAAUUUUUGUAUAUUUAGUAGAGACGGCGUUUCAUCAUGUUGGCCAGGCUGGUUUCCAACUCUUGACUUCAGGUGACCUGCCCGCCUCAGACUCCGAAAGUGCUGGGAUUACAGGCAUGAGUCACCACGCCCAGCCUAUUUGAUUUAUUUCAUCAGAGUUUUGUAGUUUUCCUCAUACAGAUCUUAAAUGAAUACUUUGGAAUACCAAAGUGUUCCAUUUUUUGGUGCUAAUGUUAGUAGUACUAUGUUUUUAUAUAUCAAGGGGCAAUGAUUCAUUGUUGGUAUACUGGUAUUGGUGAUUUGUACCUUGUCUCUUUUUCUUAGUUAACCUGGCUAGAAGUUCAUCAAUUUUAUUGAUUUAUUUCAGAUAACCAGCUUCUGGUUUCUCUGUUGAUUUCCUUGUUUGUUUCAUUAAUUUAUGCUCUAAUUUUUAUUAUUUCUUUUCUCCUGCUUAUUUUGUUCUUUGCUAUUCUUUCCUAGUUUCCUAGGUGGAAGCUUAUAUUACUGAUUUUAGUCUUUCUUCUUUUCUAUAUAUUCAAUACUACAAAUUUCCCUCAAAACACUGUUUUCUCUGAAUCCCACACAUUUUAAUAGGUUAUAUUUUCAUUUAGCUUACAAUAUUGCUUGAGACUUCUUCCUUAAACCAUGUAUUGUUUGUAGGUGUAUAUAUAUAUAUAUAUGUAUAUAUAUAUAUAUAUUUUUUUAGACAGACUCUUGCUCUGUUGCCCAGGCUGGAGUGCAGUGGUGCAAUCUUGGCUCAUUGCAACCUCUGCCUCCCAGGUUCAAGCAAUUCUCCCACCUCAGCCUCCCAAGUAGCUGGGAUUACA
RNAcentral lists this long non-coding RNA (4134 nucleotides) under Homo sapiens (human). Its description in RNAcentral is "HSALNT0356488". The record is from RNAcentral. Lineage: Eukaryota; Metazoa; Chordata; Mammalia; Primates; Hominidae.